GACGAACGCUGGCGGCGUGCUUAACACAUGCCAGUCGAACGGAAAGGCCCUGCUUUUGUGGGGUGCUCGAGUGGCGAACGGGUGAGUAACACGUGAGUAACCUGCCCUUGACUUUGGGAUAACUUCAGGAAACUGGGGCUAAUACCGGAUAGGAGCUCCUGCUGCAUGGUGGGGGUUGGAAAGUUUCGGCGGUUGGGGAUGGACUCGCGGCUUAUCAGCUUGUUGGUGGGGUAGUGGCUUACCAAGGCUUUGACGGGUAGCCGGCCUGAGAGGGUGACCGGCCACAUUGGGACUGAGAUACGGCCCAGACUCCGACGGGAGGCAGCAGUGGGGAAUAUUGCACAAUGGGCGGAAGCCGGAUGCAGCAACGCCGCGUGCGGGAUGACGGCCUUCGGGUUGUAAACCGCUUUCGCCUGUGACGAAGCGUGAGUGACGGUAAUGGGUAAAGAAGCACCGGCUAACUACGUG
RNAcentral lists this ribosomal RNA (468 nucleotides) under uncultured bacterium. RNAcentral describes it as "partial 16S ribosomal RNA". It matches the Rfam family "Bacterial small subunit ribosomal RNA", at positions 28 to 507 of the family's 1533-position model. The record is from RNAcentral.